GAGUUUGAUCCUGGCUCAGAUUGAACGCUGGCGGCAUGCUUUACACAUGCAAGUCGAGCGGCAGCGCGGGGGCAACCCUGGCGGCGAGCGGCGAACGGGUGAGUAAUGCAUCGGAACGUGUCCGGGAGUGGGGGAUAACGCCGCGAAAGCGGCGCUAAUACCGCAUAUUCUCUGAGGAGGAAAGCGGGGGACUCGCAAGGGCCUCGCGCUCGCGGAGCGGCCGAUGUCCGAUUAGCUGGUUGGUGAGGUAACGGCUCACCAAGGCGACGAUCGGUAGCUGGUCUGAGAGGAUGAUCAGCCACACUGGGACUGAGACACGGCCCAGACUCCUACGGGAGGCAGCAGUGGGGAAUUUUGGACAAUGGGGGCAACCCUGAUCCAGCCAUGCCGCGUGCGGGAAGAAGGCCUCGG
This 411-nucleotide ribosomal RNA is filed under the name uncultured beta proteobacterium. Its description in RNAcentral is "bacterial SSU rRNA". It matches the Rfam family "Bacterial small subunit ribosomal RNA", at positions 9 to 420 of the family's 1533-position model. The record is from RNAcentral. Lineage: Bacteria; Pseudomonadati; Pseudomonadota; Betaproteobacteria.